UACGUAGGAUGCAAGCGUUGUCCGGAAUUAUUGGGCGUAAAGAGCGAGCAGGCGGUUUGGAAAGUUGGACGUGAAAUUUUAGGGCUUAACCCUAAAGGGUCGUCCAAAACUCCCAGACUAGAGUGCAGGAGAGGAAAGCGGAAUUCCCGGUGUAGUGGUGAAAUGCGUAGAUAUCGGGAGGAACACCAGAGGCGAAGGCGGCUUCUGGCCUGUAACUGACGCUGAGGCGCGAAGGCUGGG
Molecule: ribosomal RNA, 240 nt
Filed under: uncultured bacterium
Lineage: Bacteria
Description: partial 16S ribosomal RNA
Rfam family: Bacterial small subunit ribosomal RNA
Source: RNAcentral